This is a long non-coding RNA of Anguilla rostrata (American eel), 1439 nucleotides long. RefSeq lists it as uncharacterized. The record is from RefSeq and is a predicted model, not a curated record. The transcript has 2 exons. NCBI's taxonomy places the organism in Eukaryota, Metazoa, Chordata, Actinopteri, Anguilliformes, Anguillidae.
CAGCUGACAGUUAGUAGCCUACCCAAAAUGAAAACAGGCGUACCGCGGUUCAUAUAUUAGCACGUUAUUUUAUUUUAAUUGAAUAUAGUUUUCCAGUUUAAAAAGUAGGCUAUAGACAGAGCAUUUUCCCACAGAAUAUUUAAUAGCCAAAUAACCAAGCACUUUCUUUCUCUAUUUUUAAUAAAAUUUUGUUUUCGUUUAGAUUUUAUUCUAAACAAUUUAGUUUGAAAGAAUGUGUUUGAUAUGGCCAUUUCAUUUUACUAAAUUUCCCAAAAUGUGUUGUUUUAGCCUGGAUGCUGAUUUCUUUACCGUGACUUGUUCUAACGGCUGCUUGAAAGAGAAAGUGCUGAUAUACAUUGGCUAAGUAGAUAUAGGCUAUCGUUUUCUCAUAAAAUGUAGACAGUACAAACUUCAAUCAAUCAAAUUUUAUUUAUAUAGCGUAUUUUACAACAGUUGUCACAAUACGCUUUACAGACAGCCCUAGCCUAAACCCCCACAGGAGCAAGCCUAAGGCAACAGUGGCAAGGAAAAACUCCCUGUGGCAGAUGGGGAGAAACCUUGGAAGGAACCAGGCUCAAGGGGGAAACCCAUCCUCCUCUGGUCGGCUCAGGGUGCCGACUGGUGACCAGCAUGUCAGCCAGUUUAUGCAGAAGAUAUGAUAAGUGAUGUGGCUCAGAUGAUGGGUGGGGCCAGGCGGCGGUGAUGGGGAACAGCAGGUGGCGGCAGAUGUGGGCAGGGUGGAGGCAAUGACGAAGGAGGGGCUGGACCGCAGAGGUGGGGGAGACCAGACGACUCUCGAAGCACUCUCGAGGGUUGGGGCAAGAGCCCCGCCGGCAGCGUGGGGAAGAGGGUGGAAACAGCAGUUAAGGGAUUUGCAAUAUACCAGACAGUGAGUAAGUGCCAGUGCUAUGUAUUGUGGGACGCCGCCAGGAGUAGAAUAUGGCUGCAUAUCUACUAGGACAGGGAUGGAGAGCCCAUGCAGUCAUGAGGGGUAGACAACCAUACCCGCCUAUCAAGAGCCAGCCCAUGUAAAGUCGGGUCACAGCUGAUUGACAGGUGACAGUAAGGAAAGGAUUGCCACCUAGAAAGCUCUAUGACUACAGGCUUCUCGCACCCUGUCUCCAGACUAUAACUGAUUGUAAGCUUGAGCAUAGAGGUGCGUUUUUAAUCUAGAUUUAAAUAUUGAGACUGUGUCUGACUCCUUUAUAAAUAAUGGAAGCUGGUUCCACAGUAGUGGGGCCCUGUAGGAGAAAGCCCUACCACCUUUUAGGUUCUUGGAAAUUCUUGGGACUACCAAGUAGCCUGCGUCUUGAGAUCGGAGUGACCUUGUGGGCUUAUAAGGUAGGAGCAGGUUCGAUAUGUACACAGGUGCACGUCCAUGCAGAGCUUUAAAAGUCAGGAGCAAAACCUUGAAGUCUAUCCUAUACUUAAUGGGUAGC